This 139-nucleotide ribosomal RNA is filed under the name uncultured eukaryote. Its description in RNAcentral is "partial 18S ribosomal RNA". It matches the Rfam family "Eukaryotic small subunit ribosomal RNA", at positions 1299 to 1458 of the family's 1831-position model. The record is from RNAcentral.
UGGUGGAGCGAUUUGUCUGGUUAAUUCCGUUAACGGACGAGACCUCGUCCUCUAGUUAGAGAUACCAACAUUUCCGGUUGGGAAAGCUUCUUAGAGGGACUGUCGGGUUAUUAACCGAAGGAAGCUCGAGGCGAUAACA